Molecule: transfer RNA, 67 nt
Filed under: Mesohomotoma hibisci
Lineage: Eukaryota; Metazoa; Arthropoda; Insecta; Hemiptera; Carsidaridae
Description: tRNA-Thr
Source: RNAcentral
CUUUAAUAAUUUAAAUUUAAAAUAGUGGUUUUGUAAAUCACAUAUAUUGAACAACAAUUUAAAGCAU